RNAcentral lists this ribosomal RNA (464 nucleotides) under Vreelandella stevensii. RNAcentral describes it as "partial 16S ribosomal RNA". It matches the Rfam family "Bacterial small subunit ribosomal RNA", at positions 338 to 795 of the family's 1533-position model. Lineage: Bacteria; Pseudomonadati; Pseudomonadota; Gammaproteobacteria; Oceanospirillales; Halomonadaceae. The record is from RNAcentral.
CCUACGGGGUGCUGCAGUGGGGAAUAUUGGACAAUGGGCGAAAGCCUGAUCCAGCCAUGCCGCGUGUGUGAAGAAGGCCUUCGGGUUGUAAAGCACUUUCAGUGGGGAAGAAAGCCUUGGGGCUAAUACCCUCGAGGAAGGACAUCACCCACAGAAGAAGCACCGGCUAACUCCGUGCCAGCAGCCGCGGUAAUACGGAGGGUGCGAGCGUUAAUCGGAAUUACUGGGCGUAAAGCGCGCGUAGGCGGUCUGAUAAGCCGGUUGUGAAAGCCCCGGGCUCAACCUGGGAACGGCAUCCGGAACUGUCAGGCUAGAGUGCAGGAGAGGAAGGUAGAAUUCCCGGUGUAGCGGUGAAAUGCGUAGAGAUCGGGAGGAAUACCAGUGGCGAAGGCGGCCUUCUGGACUGACACUGACGCUGAGGUGCGAAAGCGUGGGUAGCAAACAGGAUUAGAUACCGUGUAGUC